Molecule: ribosomal RNA, 490 nt
Filed under: uncultured bacterium
Lineage: Bacteria
Description: bacterial SSU rRNA
Rfam family: Bacterial small subunit ribosomal RNA
Source: RNAcentral
GACGAACGGCUGGCGGGCGUGGAUUAGGCAUGCAAGUCGAACGGUAGGAUACCUUCGGGUAUCUGAGAGUGGCGAACGGGUGAGUAACACGUAGGUGAUCUACCCUCAAGAUUGGGACAACCCAGGGAAACUUGGGCUAAUACCGGAUGAAAGCAGCAGUGAUGUUGUUUGAAAGGUGGCGUAAGCUGCCGUUUGGGGAUGAGCCUGCGCUCUAUUAGUUAGUUGGCGGGGUAAAGGCCCACCAAGGCGAUGAUAGAUAGGCGGCCUUAACGGGUGGUCGCCCACACUGGGAUUGAGAUACGGCCCAGACUCCUACGGGAGGCAGCAGUCGAGAAUAGUCUACAAUGGCCGAAAGGCUGAUAGUGCGACGCCGCGUGAACGAAGAAGCCCUUCGGGGUGUAAAGUUCUUUUAUAUGUGAGCAGUGACAUCUAUAUUAAUAGUAUGGGUGUAGAGAUAUUAGCAUAUGAAUAAGCAACGGCUAACUCCGUG